Toxocara canis (dog roundworm) is the source of this 82-nucleotide transfer RNA. It matches the Rfam family "tRNA". From Rfam's summary of the family: Transfer RNA (tRNA) molecules are approximately 80 nucleotides in length. Their secondary structure includes four short double-helical elements and three loops (D, anti-codon, and T loops). Further hydrogen bonds mediate the characteristic L-shaped molecular structure. tRNAs have two regions of fundamental functional importance: the anti-codon, which is responsible for specific mRNA codon recognition, and the 3' end, to which the tRNAs corresponding amino acid is attached (by aminoacyl-tRNA synthetases). tRNAs cope with the degeneracy of the genetic code in two manners: having more than one tRNA (with a specific anti-codon) for a particular amino acid; and 'wobble' base-pairing, i.e. permitting non-standard base-pairing at the 3rd anti-codon position. The record is from Rfam. Lineage: Eukaryota; Metazoa; Nematoda; Chromadorea; Rhabditida; Toxocaridae.
GCAGCGGCGUCGGAGUGGUUAACUAGAUUGACUCGAAAUCAAGUGGGCUCUGCCCGCAUAGGUUCGAAUCCUGUUCGCUGCG